RNAcentral lists this ribosomal RNA (418 nucleotides) under uncultured eukaryote. RNAcentral describes it as "SSU rRNA". It matches the Rfam family "Eukaryotic small subunit ribosomal RNA", at positions 592 to 1017 of the family's 1831-position model. The record is from RNAcentral.
CAAUAGCGUAUAUUAAAGUUGUUGCAGUUAAAAAGCUCGUAGUUGGAUUUCUGGGAGGGUGCUAAUGUCCGCUAUACAGCGUGCGCAGCCGCGCCCUUCCAUCCUUCUGUUAACGCCUCUUGGCAUUCACUUGCUGGUGGCGGGCUCAGAUAUUUUACCUUGAGAAAAUUAGAGUGUUUCAGGCAGGCUAGGCCGGAAUAUAUUAGCAUGGAAUAAUGGAAUAGGACUAUGGUCUCUUUGUUGGUUUGAGGGACUGCAGUAAUGAUUAAUAGGGAUAGUUGGGGGCGAUUAGUAUUUAAUUGUCAGAGGUGGAAUUCUCAGAUUUGUUAAAGACUAACUUAUGCGAAAGCAUUUGCCAAGGAUGUUUUCUAUUAAUCAAGAACGAAAGUUAAGGGGAGUCAAAGACGAUCAGAUACCA